Molecule: ribosomal RNA, 539 nt
Filed under: uncultured bacterium
Lineage: Bacteria
Description: bacterial SSU rRNA
Rfam family: Bacterial small subunit ribosomal RNA
Source: RNAcentral
ACGCAAUAGAUACCCGGGUAGUCCACGCCCUAAACGAUGUCUACUAGUUGUCGGGUCUUAAUUGACUUGGUAAACGCAGCUAAACGCGUGAAGUAGACCGCCUGGGGAGUACGGUCGCAAGAUUAAAACUCAAAGGAAUUGACGGGGACCCGCACAAGCGGUGGAUGAUGUGGAUUAAUUCGAUGCAACGCGAAAAACCUUACCUACCCUUGACAUGGAAGGAAUCCCUGAGAGAUUGGGGAGUGCUCGAAAGAGAACCUUUACACAGGUGCUGCAUGGCUGUCGUCAGCUCGUGUCGUGAGAUGUUGGGUUAAGUCCCGCAACGAGCGCAACCCUUGUCAUUAGUUGCUACGAAAGGGCACUCUAAUGAGACUGCCGGUGACAAACCGGAGGAAGGUGGGGAUGACGUCAAGUCCUCAUGGCCCUUAUGGGUAGGGCUUCACACGUCAUACAAUGGUACAUACAGAGGGCCGCCAACCCGCGAGGGGGUAGCUAAUCCCAGAAAGUGUAUCGUAGUCCGGAUUGUAGUCUGCAACUCG